Molecule: ribosomal RNA, 419 nt
Filed under: uncultured Glomeraceae
Lineage: Eukaryota; Fungi; Glomeromycota; Glomeromycetes; Glomerales; Glomeraceae
Description: SSU rRNA
Rfam family: Eukaryotic small subunit ribosomal RNA
Source: RNAcentral
UUGGAGGGCAAGUCUGGUGCCAGCAGCCGCGGUAAUUCCAGCUCCAAUAGCGUAUAUUAAAGUUGUUGCAGUUAAAAGCUCGUAGUUGAAGUUUCGGGGUCAGUAGGUUGGUCAUGCCACUGGUAUGUACUGGUCUCACUGAUUCCUCCUUCCUGAUGAACUGUAAUGCCAUUAAUUUGGUGUUGCAGGGAAUCUGGACUGUUACUUUAGAAAAAUUGAGUGUUUAAAGCAGGCUAACGCCUGAAUACAUUAGCAUGGAAUAAUGAAAUAGGACGUUCGAUCCUAUUUUGUUGGUUUCUAGGAUUGACGUAAUGAUUAAUAGGGAUAGGUUGGGGGCAUUAGUAUUCAAUUGUCAGAGGUGAAAUUCUUGGAUUUAUUGAAGACUAACUACAGCGAAAGCAUUAGCCAAGGAUUGUUUU